GGGUGAGUAACGCGUAAGUAAUCUACCCUGGUAUCUGGGAUAACCAACCGAAAGGUUGGCUAAUACCGGAUACGCUGGUAACAGGAAAGGUGGCCUCUUCAUGAAAGCUACUGUACCAGGAGGAGCUUGCGUACCAUUAGCUAGUUGGUAGGGUAAUGGCCUACCAAGGCGACGAUGGUUAGCGGGUCUGAGAGGAUGAUCCGCCACACUGGAACUGGAACACGGACCAGACUCCUACGGGAGGCAGCAGUGAGGAAUAUUGCGCAAUGGGGGAAACCCUGACGCAGCGACGCCGCGUGGAUGAUGAAGGCCUUCGGGUCGUAAAAUCCUGUCAGAUGGAAAGAAGUGUAUAGAUGUUAAUAGCAUUUAUAUUUGACGGUACCAUCAAAGGAAGCACCGGCUAACUCCGUGCCAGCAGCCGCGGUAAUACGGAGGGUGCAAGCGUUGUUCGGAAUUACUGGGCGUAAAGCGCGCGUAGGCGGUUUUAUAAGUCAGAUGUGAAAGUCCACGGCUCAACCGUGGAAGUGCAUUUGAAACUGUAUUACUUGAGUACUGGAGGGGGUGGUGGAAUUCCCGGUGUAGAGGUGAAAUUCGUAGAUAUCGGGAGGAAUACCGGUGGCGAAGGCGACCACCUGGCCAGAUACUGACGCUGAGGUGCGAAAGCGU
This 666-nucleotide ribosomal RNA is filed under the name Desulfotalea sp. PR8_B10. RNAcentral describes it as "bacterial SSU rRNA". It matches the Rfam family "Bacterial small subunit ribosomal RNA", at positions 104 to 762 of the family's 1533-position model. The record is from RNAcentral. RNAcentral also lists the same sequence under 1 other name. Lineage: Bacteria; Pseudomonadati; Thermodesulfobacteriota; Desulfobulbia; Desulfobulbales; Desulfocapsaceae.